Long non-coding RNA from Macrobrachium nipponense, 2414 nucleotides. RefSeq lists it as uncharacterized. Lineage: Eukaryota; Metazoa; Arthropoda; Malacostraca; Decapoda; Palaemonidae. The transcript is spliced from 3 exons. The record is from RefSeq and is a predicted model, not a curated record.
UGUGCAGUGGAAGUAAAAAUUUUCGUCAAAUCCAAAGACUAUAUACUGAAGGAAGAUAGGAAGGCUCAAAAUAGGAAUGUUAAUAUACUAGUUGCCAACUCCAAAGUGAACACAAUAGUUUGACCGCUCAGUGUUCAGAUGUCGUUGUAGGUAUAUCGCAUGUCGUCUGUUUGUUUAUAUUUUUAGAAUUUGACAGUUGACACAAACGAAAUCAUGGCGCCAACAGUGAAUAAGUCACACAAAAGUGUUGUUUGCAAUAAAAGAAUAGAAACCGAUCCUCAUUUGUGUUUCACAGGUUCCCUAAGGAUAAAAGACGGUAAUUACUAACAUUAUAAUACAUUAUGUAUGUGCUACUAUUAAUCAGUAAGCCCCACUGAUAUUGGAUAUAAGAUUAAGGCAAGGCCUCCGCAGUACAUUUUUUUGUUUCAAAAUUUUUUUUUUUUUUAAGUUUACCGAGUAACUUUAUGACUUCAUCACACUCAAACCAGCAACCAAGCAGUGCUGUGCCAAUUCAGGAGUGUUAAGAGAAUAAAAAAGUGUUGGCUUAGAGAGUAAAAGUGUUCAAGGUAUGUCAAUGAAAGUAUAGCCUACAAGGUUAGAAAGGUUAGAAAAAAAACUUCCAAAUUCCUAGCCUAACCGAAACUGAUUAGUAUCACAGCAAACAUACCGAUAGAUGUCCAAAGGUUAGGCAGAUUUAGUAUCGGUGAUGAUCCAAAAUCAGUGGGUAAAAGAUCGAAAAAGUGGAGAAGCAGCUUCCAAAUUUAUUUAGAAGCACUAGGGAAAAUAGUUAAAAAGCAGCAGAAACCAUUGUUACUUCAUACUGCAGGUUUAGAAGUUCAGGAAGUUUACAGAAGACAAUUGAAGGGCUCACAAAUCCAUUUGCUCCUCAAGCAAAUAUGUACUUUGAAUGUUAUUAGCUCAUCGAAGCCUCACAGGAAUCAGGUGAGACAGUAGAUUCAUUUGUGACUAGGUUAAGGAAAUUAGCUUACAACUUAUGAAUUUGGAGAUCUAGACCAGGGGUUAAUAGACCAAAUUAUAGUAAAGAAUAAUUCACAAGAGCUUAGGAAGACAUUGCUACAAGAAAAGAAGCUAACCAUUUGGAAAUACAUUCGGCUGUAGCUCCGAAAAUAGCCAUAGGAUUUUUUCAAAAAUAAUCUCAAUGGGAUUCCCACAAAAAGUUACCUUCGAUUGCUUAACGUAACCUAACCCAACCAAACCUAACCUAAACUAACUUUUAAAGUGAUACGCUCAAGAGUGAUUAUAUUUUCUCUGCAACAUAAGUCAAAACUAUAGAAUAGUAGAAUGUAUUUUUGUAUGCUGGUGAAAUAGGAUGGCAUAACAUAUAGUAUUAUAUCACCUAGAUGCUUGAUAUGGACGAACCCCAUCCAAAUUCAGGAGUUGAGGCAAAAAAACUCACGACAACUAAAUUCAAGCUAUUGUGUGUGCAGCAGGAAUUUCUCCACCAAAAAAUACCUUCAUCCAGCUUCUGACAAACUUUGCCACAAUGCCUGCCCAGAUCAACAUGUAGGAGAUACAUCAAUAGAUUUACACCACCAAGCAAAUUAUACAUCAAAUUGGUUGCUGACUUAUCCACACGAGAAUUUGCACAACCUUGAAUAUGGUGUGUGUAUUUGAUGUGCAGUAUUUGAUGUGCAGUUUGUAUAUGUUUAGAUUUUCUGAAAUGGGAAGUGCAUCACAAUUAUUCUAAAUAUAGUUAAUCUUGUAGGUACCAUUCCUGCUCUGGAGAAUAGAUCAUCCUUGAAACAUGGUAAAUGGUCUAUGCUUUUGGUAGAUAUUACAGUUUUGUUUUUAAUAACUAGAAUUCAUAUAGUAGGUAAAGAUUGACCUUUAAGAUUUUGCUAUAUUAUGCUACAUAUAUAUUCACUUUGUUUUCAGUGAAAAAGUGUUAGACUAAUAGUUGUAUUAUGGCUAUAGGGUUCAUCUAUCAACUUACCAGGGAAAAUUCCAAGGAAGACUAUGGAAAUAUUGAAUUAAGUGAAAAUGUUCAAUCAGAUAUUGAAUUUACUGAUGGUUAUCGAAAGGAUACUGGCAGUGAAGUGUACAGUAAUGCCACAGUAACAAGCAUUAUGGAUAAUAUUAGUUGUAUUGCUACAAGUGUUAGUCCUACUACAACUAUUAUGACUGCUAAACCUACAUUUGGUACUAAUACUGCUGCUACUACUAUCCCUCCCCCUACUGCUGCUACUACUACAACUAAUACUAAUGAUGAUGUUGAUUGUAGCAUUCUCAAUGUAAAUGAUAAUUUACAAAAGCCUGAAAUACAGUAUGAGACCAUACAAUAAGGGUUACAUGAAGAAGGAGAACCAACAUUCACAAACAUAAAAUCAAAUGGCAAGAUGAUACCAUGAAUUCAUUUUUUUAAGAGAUCAAAACAAAAUAUUUUUCCCCAAUAA